Molecule: ribosomal RNA, 450 nt
Filed under: uncultured bacterium
Lineage: Bacteria
Description: partial 16S ribosomal RNA
Rfam family: Bacterial small subunit ribosomal RNA
Source: RNAcentral
GUGGGGAAUAUUCCGCAAUGGACGAAAGUCUGACGGAGCAACGCCGCGUGAGCGAUGAAGGUUUUCGGACUGUAAAGCUCUGUUGUUUAGGACGAAAGUGCCUGCUGCGAACAGUUGCAGGUAUUGACGGUACUGAACGAGGAAGCCACGGCUAACUACGUGCCAGCAGCCGCGGUAAUACGUAGGUGGCAAGCGUUGUCCGGAAUUAUUGGGCGUAAAGAGCAUGUAGGCGGGAAUCUAAGUCUGUUGUGAAAAUGCGGGGCUCAACCCCGUAUGGCGAUGGAAACUGGAUUUCUUGAGUGCAGGAGAGGAAAGGGGGAUUCCCAGUGUAGCGGUGAAAUGCGUAGAUAUUGGGAGGAACACCAGUGGCGAAGGCGCCUUUCUGGACUGUGUCUGACGCUGAGAUGCGAAAGCCAGGGUAGCGAACGGGAUUAGAAACCCCAGUAGUCC